GAUCAUUACAGAAUGAAAAGUGCUUAACUGCAUUUUUUCUUACACAUGUGUUUUUCUUUUUUUGAAAACUUUGCUUUGGUAGGCCUUCUAUAUGGGGCCUGCCAGAGAUUAAACUCAACCAAAUUUUAUUUAAUGUCAACCGAUUAUUUAAUAGUCAAAACUUUCAACAACGGAUCUCUUGGUUCUCGCAUCGAUGAAGAACGCAGCGAAAUGCGAUAAGUAAUAUGAAUUGCAGAUAUUCGUGAAUCAUCGAAUCUUUGAACGCACAUUGCGCCCUUUGGUAUUCCAAAGGGCAUGCCUGUUUGAGCGUCAUUUCUCCCUCAAACCCUCGGGUUUGGUGUUGAGCGAUACGCUGGGUUUGCUUGAAAGAAAGGCGGAGUAUAAACUAAUGGAUAGGUUUUUUCCACUCAUUGGUACAAACUCCAAAACUUCUUCCAAAUUCGACCUCAAAUCAGGUAGGACUACCCGCUGAACUUAAGCAUAUCA
This 486-nucleotide unclassified non-coding RNA is filed under the name Lodderomyces parapsilosis. RNAcentral's name for it is "Candida parapsilosis sequence contains 18S rRNA gene, ITS1, 5.8S rRNA gene, ITS2, 28S rRNA gene". The stretch from base 159 to 312 matches the Rfam family "5.8S ribosomal RNA". The record is from RNAcentral. Lineage: Eukaryota; Fungi; Ascomycota; Pichiomycetes; Serinales; Debaryomycetaceae.